CAGCUUCACAGGACUUCCAUACACACUAAAUAUUGUAUUCAUGUCCUAUAAGAAAAUGGGGAUUCAGAAAGACUCGAAAACCAAGAAAACAACAAAAGAAAAGAUAAGUGAUGAUCUCAGUAAUUCCAUCUAUACACCACAGAAAAGCUAGAUUUGAAGUUAAAAAAUAAAGUGGUAGUACACCAAAAAAUUUGAAGGAAUUCCCAGGCACUACAUGUAUUGUCCCAC
Molecule: long non-coding RNA, 228 nt
Filed under: Fukomys damarensis (Damara mole-rat)
Lineage: Eukaryota; Metazoa; Chordata; Mammalia; Rodentia; Bathyergidae
Description: lncRNA (ENSFDAG00000025324.1)
Source: RNAcentral